RNAcentral lists this ribosomal RNA (489 nucleotides) under uncultured bacterium. Its description in RNAcentral is "partial 16S ribosomal RNA". It matches the Rfam family "Bacterial small subunit ribosomal RNA", at positions 29 to 507 of the family's 1533-position model. The record is from RNAcentral.
AUUGAACGCUGGCGGCAGGCCUAACACAUGCAAGUCGAACGGUAACAGGAAGAAGCUUGCUUCUUUGCUGACGAGUGGCGGACGGGUGAGUAAUGUCUGGGAAACUGCCUGAUGGAGGGGGAUAACUACUGGAAACGGUAGCUAAUACCGCAUAACGUCGCAAGACCAAAGAGGGGGACCUUCGGGCCUCUUGCCAUCGGAUGUGCCCAGAUGGGAUUAGCUAGUAGGUGGGGUAACGGCUCACCUAGGCGACGAUCCCUAGCUGGUCUGAGAGGAGGACCGGCAAAACUGGACUUGAGAAAGGUUCCAGACCCCAAGGGGGGGCAGAGUUGGGAAUAAUUGCACAAGGGGCGAAAGCCUGAGGCAGCCAGGCGGCGGGAAUGAAGAGGGCCUCCGGGUUGUAAAUUCCUUUAGGCGGGGGGAAAGGAGUAAAGUUAAUACCUUUGCUCAUUGACGUUACCCGCAGAAGAAGCACCGGCUAACUCCGUG